This 447-nucleotide ribosomal RNA is filed under the name uncultured bacterium. Its description in RNAcentral is "bacterial SSU rRNA". It matches the Rfam family "Bacterial small subunit ribosomal RNA", at positions 329 to 793 of the family's 1533-position model. The record is from RNAcentral.
UCCCAGACUCCUACGGGAGGCAGCAGUGGGGAAUAUUGCACAAUGGGGGAAACCCUGAUGCAGCAACGCCGCGUGAGUGAAGAAGUCAUUCGUGAUGUAAAGCUCUAUCAGCAGGGAAGAAAAUGACGGUACCUGAGUAAGAAGCCCCGGCUAACUACGUGCCAGCAGCCGCGGUAAUACGUAUGGUGCAAGCGUUAUCCGGAUUUACUGGGUGUAAAGGGAGCGCAGGCGGCACGGCAAGCCUGAUGUGAAAGCCCGCGGCCCAACCGCGGGACUGCAUUGGGAACUACCGGGCUGGAGUGCCGGAGAGGUAGGCGGAAUUCCUAGUGUAGCGGUGAAAUGCGUAGAUAUUAGGAGGAACACCAGUGGCGAAGGCGGCCUACUGGACGGUGGCUGACGCUGAGGCUCGAAAGCGUGGGGAGCAAACAGGAUUAGAUACCCUUGUAC